RNAcentral lists this transfer RNA (75 nucleotides) under Tanakia lanceolata. RNAcentral describes it as "tRNA-Thr". It matches the Rfam family "tRNA". Rfam says of the family: Transfer RNA (tRNA) molecules are approximately 80 nucleotides in length. The record is from RNAcentral. Lineage: Eukaryota; Metazoa; Chordata; Actinopteri; Cypriniformes; Acheilognathidae.
GCCCUAGUAGCUUAGCCCUAUAAAGCAUCGGUCUUGUAAUCCGAAGAUCGAGGGUUAAACCCCCUCCUAGCGCCC